This 276-nucleotide unclassified non-coding RNA is filed under the name Hevea brasiliensis (rubber tree). The record is from RNAcentral. Lineage: Eukaryota; Viridiplantae; Streptophyta; Magnoliopsida; Malpighiales; Euphorbiaceae.
GACAAUCUGUGGAAGUAUCUUCGGUUCUGUAGUUGAUCUUUGUGCAAUAAAGGACAACAUAUGAAUAAGAGGUGCAACCCACAUGGAUAGCUGCCCUACUCUUUGGUCAUGUUAGUUGGCAGCACUAAAUCAUUAGUGUAUUAUUUCUCCAUAGGAAAACUUAGAAGGUGCAAGGAGUUAAUUAUCUGAUUAUUAUUGACAUAAAGUCAUUGGAAUGGUCUGUGAUUCUGAAAAAUAUGUCAUUUGUUAACAGGAGAAGUGUAUUGUCUAUAUAAA